AUUGAACGCUGGCGGCAGGCCUAACACAUGCAAGUCGAACGAGUGGCGGACGGGUGAGUAAUGUCUGGGAAACUGCAUGAUGGAGGGGGAUAACUACUGGAAACGGUAGCUGAUACCGCAUACUAUCAGAUGUGCCCAGAUGGGAUUAGCUAGUUGGUGGGGUAACGGCUCACCAAGGCGACGAUCCCUAGCCGGUCGGAGAGGAUGACCAGCCACACUGGAACGGAGACACGGUCCAGACUCCUCCGGGAGGAAGCAGUGGGGAUUAUUGCACAAUGGGCGCAAGCCGGAUGCAGCCAUGCCGCGUGUAGGAAGAAGGCCUUCGGGUUGUAAAGUACUUUCAGCGGGGAGGCGUUACCCGCAGAAGAAGCACCGGCUAACUCCGUGCCAGCCGCCGCGGUAAUAC
Molecule: ribosomal RNA, 406 nt
Filed under: uncultured bacterium
Lineage: Bacteria
Description: partial 16S ribosomal RNA
Rfam family: Bacterial small subunit ribosomal RNA
Source: RNAcentral